Molecule: ribosomal RNA, 427 nt
Filed under: uncultured beta proteobacterium
Lineage: Bacteria; Pseudomonadati; Pseudomonadota; Betaproteobacteria
Description: bacterial SSU rRNA
Rfam family: Bacterial small subunit ribosomal RNA
Source: RNAcentral
UGGGGAAUUUUGGACAAUGGGCGAAAGCCUGAUCCAGCCAUGCCGCGUGAGUGAAGAAGGCCUUCGGGUUGUAAAGCUCUUUUAGUCGGAAAGAAAGAGUUGCAAUGAAUAAUUGUGAUUUAUGACGGUACCGACAGAAAAAGCACCGGCUAACUACGUGCCAGCAGCCGCGGUAAUACGUAGGGUGCGAGCGUUAAUCGGAAUUACUGGGCGUAAAGGGUGCGCAGGCGGUCUUGCAAGUCAGAUGUGAAAGACCCGGGCUUAACCUGGGAAUUGCGUUUGAAACUACAAGACUAGAGUGCAGCAGAGGGGAGUGGAAUUCCAUGUGUAGCAGUGAAAUGCGUAGAGAUGUGGAAGAACACCGAUGGCGAAGGCAGCUCCCUGGGUUGACACUGACGCUCAUGCACGAAAGCGUGGGGAGCAAACA